AUAAUCAUUUGCCUUAUAAUUGAAGGCUAGUAUGAAUGGUUUGACGAGAGCAAUACUGUCUCCUUUUUAUUUUCAAAAACUUAACUUUUAGGUGAAGAGGCCUAAAUUUUAUUGAAGGACAAGAAGACCCUGUCGAGCUUAAAAGACAUUAUAGGAGUCUAAUAUAUUUUUAAAUAAAUUUUCUAUUAGGCUUUUUAGUUGGGGCGACUAGGGAACAAAAAAAGCUUCUUUCUAAUAAAUAAACAAUCAUGUUUAGAUCCGAUAAUAGCGAUCAAAGAAAUUAGUUACCGCAGGGAUAACAGCAUAAUCUCUCUUAAGAGACCUAAUCGAAAGAGGGGGUUGUGACCUCGAUGUUGGACUAGAAUAUCCUAAAGAUGCAGAAGUCUUUAAGGGUCGGUCUGUUCGACCGUUAAAAUUCU
RNAcentral lists this ribosomal RNA (419 nucleotides) under Semisulcospira libertina. Its description in RNAcentral is "partial 16S ribosomal RNA". It matches the Rfam family "Bacterial large subunit ribosomal RNA", at positions 1956 to 2597 of the family's 2925-position model. RNAcentral also lists the same sequence under 1 other name. Lineage: Eukaryota; Metazoa; Mollusca; Gastropoda; Semisulcospiridae. The record is from RNAcentral.